CACGGGGUUGCGAGCGUUGUCCGGAAUUACUAGGCGUAAAGGGCAGGCAGGCGGAUCCAUAAGUUUAUCGUUUAAGGCGUCGGCUUAACCGGCGUAGGGCGGUAGAUACUGUGGAUCUGGAAUGCGGUUGGGGAAGACAGAAUUCUUGGUGUAGCGGUGGAAUGCGCAGAGAUCAGGAGGAAUACCAAAGGCGAAGGCAGUCUUCCAAGCCGUUAUUGACGCUCAACUGCGAAGGUGUGGGUAUCAAACAGGAUUAGAUACCCUGGUAGUCCCUGA
RNAcentral lists this ribosomal RNA (276 nucleotides) under uncultured prokaryote. RNAcentral describes it as "partial 16S ribosomal RNA". It matches the Rfam family "Bacterial small subunit ribosomal RNA", at positions 524 to 800 of the family's 1533-position model. The record is from RNAcentral.